RNAcentral lists this ribosomal RNA (750 nucleotides) under uncultured bacterium. RNAcentral's name for it is "bacterial SSU rRNA". It matches the Rfam family "Bacterial small subunit ribosomal RNA", at positions 43 to 804 of the family's 1533-position model. The record is from RNAcentral.
CAGGCCUAACACAUGCAAGUCGAACGGAAAGGCCCUGCUUUUGUGGGGUGCUCGAGUGGCGAACGGGUGAGUAACACGUGAGUAACCUGCCCUUGACUUUGGGAUAACUUCAGGAAACUGGGGCUAAUACCGGAUAGGAGCUCCUGCUGCAUGGUGGGGGUUGGAAAGUUUCGGCGGUUGGGGAUGGACUCGCGGCUUAUCAGCUUGUUGGUGGGGUAGUGGCUUACCAAGGCUUUGACGGGUAGCCGGCCUGAGAGGGUGACCGGCCACAUUGGGACCGAGAUACGGCCCAGACUCCUACGGGAGGCAGCAGUGGGGAAUAUUGCACAAUGGGCGGAAGCCUGAUGCAGCAACGCCGCGUGCGGGAUGACGGCCUUCGGGUUGUAAACCGCUUUCGCCUGUGACGAAGCGUGAGUGACGGUAAUGGGUAAAGAAGCACCGGCUAACUACGUGCCAGCAGCCGCGGUGAUACGUAGGGUGCGAGCGUUGUCCGGAUUUAUUGGGCGUAAAGGGCUCGUAGGUGGUUGAUCGCGUCGGAAGUGUAAUCUUGGGGCUUAACCCUGAGCGUGCUUUCGAUACGGGUUGACUUGAGGAAGGUAGGGGAGAAUGGAAUUCCUGGUGGAGCGGUGGAAUGCGCAGAUAUCAGGAGGAACACCAGUGGCGAAGGCGGUUCUCUGGGCCUUUCCUGACGCUGAGGAGCGAAAGCGUGUGGAGCGAACAGGCUUAGAUACCCUGGUAGUCCACGCUGUA